Molecule: long non-coding RNA, 222 nt
Filed under: Oryza brachyantha (malo sina)
Lineage: Eukaryota; Viridiplantae; Streptophyta; Magnoliopsida; Poales; Poaceae
Description: long non-coding RNA (OBRA_LNC000274)
Source: RNAcentral
CCCACCCGAUCGGUCCCAGCCGCGCCGCGCGUGGCGGGUCUAUCUAACAUAACAAGCUUACUACUCCGCACGCGGCGUACGUGCGCGCUUUCGCGGGCGUGGUAUACGAACGUGCGUGCGUGCGUACGCCCUCGGUGCUCUCCGUUCCUCGGCCGGCGCGGCGCGGCAGGGUUUAGCUCCGCGUGCGCCGAGACGGGCGUGUGCGCGAGGGGAAUCGCUCGC